RNAcentral lists this ribosomal RNA (607 nucleotides) under Vishniacozyma victoriae. RNAcentral's name for it is "partial large subunit ribosomal RNA". It matches the Rfam family "Eukaryotic large subunit ribosomal RNA", at positions 38 to 635 of the family's 3401-position model. Lineage: Eukaryota; Fungi; Basidiomycota; Tremellomycetes; Tremellales; Bulleribasidiaceae. The record is from RNAcentral.
GCAUAUCAAUAAGCGGAGGAAAAGAAACUAACUAGGAUUCCCUUAGUAACGGCGAGUGAACCGGGAUGAGCUCAAAUUUAAAAUCUGGCGUCUUUCAGGCGUCCGAGUUGUAAUCUAUAGAGGCGUUUUCCGCGCCGGACCGCGUCCAAGUCUCUUGGAAUAGAGUAUCAAAGAGGGUGACAAUCCCGUACUUGACGCGACAACCGGUGCUCUGUGAUACGUUCUCAAUGAGUCGAGUUGUUUGGGAAUGCAGCUCUAAAUGGGUGGUAAAUUCCAUCUAAGGCUAAAUAUUGGCGAGAGACCGAUAGCGAACAAGUACCGUGAGGGAAAGAUGAAAAGCACUUUGGAAAGAGAGUUAAACAGCACGUGAAAUUGUUAAAAGGGAAACGAUUGAAGUCAGUCGUGUGAAAGGUAUUCAGCCGUCUCUGGCGGUGUAUUUGCCUUUCACGGGUCAACAUCAGUUUGAUCCGGUAGAAAAAGGCGGGAGGAAGGUGGCACCCUCGGGUGUGUUAUAGCCUCCUGUCAUAUGUGCCGGACCAGACUGAGGAACGCAGCUUGCCGCAAGGCCGGGGUUCGCCCACGUACAAGCUUAGGAUGUUGACAUAAC